RNAcentral lists this ribosomal RNA (428 nucleotides) under Idas sp. ESU L. RNAcentral describes it as "partial 16S ribosomal RNA". It matches the Rfam family "Bacterial large subunit ribosomal RNA", at positions 1923 to 2600 of the family's 2925-position model. The record is from RNAcentral. Lineage: Eukaryota; Metazoa; Mollusca; Bivalvia; Mytilida; Modiolidae.
GUAAACGGCUGCAUAAAUCUGAGUGUACUAAGGUAGCGCUAUAAUUUGCCCUUUAAAUGGGGGCUGGUAUGAAUGGGUUCACGUGAGAGUUGCUGUGUCACAAAAAUUUUUUGAAAUUAACUUUUAGGUGAAGAGGCCUAUCUAAAAUUAAAGGACGACAAGACCCUAGAAGCUUUACUGAAGAUAGUUUUAGAUUAAGUUAUUUUAGUUUUGUUGGGGCGACAUAGUUAGAAAAUAUAACUUGUUUUUAUAAACUCACAAGUUAAAACCACAUUGGUGAAUAAGAUAAGUUACUCUAGGGAUAACAGCGUUAUUUUUUUUAAUAGUACGUAUUGUAAAAAAAGUUUGCGACCUCGAUGUUGGACUAAGGUGUCCUUAAGGCGUAGAAGUUUUAAAGGGUUGGCCUGUUCGUCCAUUAAAACCUUACA